RNAcentral lists this ribosomal RNA (484 nucleotides) under uncultured bacterium. RNAcentral's name for it is "partial 16S ribosomal RNA". It matches the Rfam family "Bacterial small subunit ribosomal RNA", at positions 30 to 507 of the family's 1533-position model. The record is from RNAcentral.
AUUGAACGCUGGCAGCAGGCCUAACACAUGCAAGUCGAGCGGAUGAAGGGAGCUUGCUCCUGGAUUCAGCGGCGGACGGGUGAGUAAUGCCUAGGAAUCUGCCUGGUAGUGGGGGAUAACGUCCGGAAACGGGCGCUAAUACCGCAUACGUCCUGAGGGAGAAAGUGGGGGAUCUUCGGACCUCACGCUAUCAGAUGAGCCUAGGUCGGAUUAGCUAGUUGGUGGGGUAAAGGCCUACCAAGGCGACGAUCCGUAACUGGUCUGAGAGGAUGAUCAGUCACACUGGAACUGAGACACGGUCCAGACUCCUACGGGAGGCAGCAGUGGGGAAUAUUGGACAAUGGGCGAAAGCCUGAUCCAGCCAUGCCGCGUGUGUGAAGAAGGUCUUCGGAUUGUAAAGCGCUUUAAGUUGGGAGGAAGGGCAGUAAGUUAAUACCUUGCUGUUUUGACGUUACCAACAGAAUAAGCACCGGCUAACUUCGUG